AGCUUUGCGCAGUGGCAGUAUCGUAGCCAAUGAGGUUUAUCCGAGGCGCGAUUAUUGCUAAUUGAAAACUUUUAGUGCCGUUUUUCACUAAAGGGGAUUUUAUGUGGAAUAAUUUAGCCACAGAAUGUAACAACUGU
Small nuclear RNA from Rhinopithecus bieti (black snub-nosed monkey), 137 nucleotides. Its record names the gene U4. It matches the Rfam family "U4 spliceosomal RNA". Rfam says of the family: U4 small nuclear RNA (U4 snRNA) is a component of the major U2-dependent spliceosome. The structure of U4 snRNA from yeast and human has been reported. NCBI's taxonomy places the organism in Eukaryota, Metazoa, Chordata, Mammalia, Primates, Cercopithecidae. The record is from Ensembl.